RNAcentral lists this long non-coding RNA (935 nucleotides) under Salvator merianae (Argentine black and white tegu). RNAcentral describes it as "lncRNA (ENSSMRG00000008572.1)". The record is from RNAcentral. Lineage: Eukaryota; Metazoa; Chordata; Lepidosauria; Squamata; Teiidae.
CGGGGCACUCAGACACAGAAGCUUUCGCCGACUGGAGACGUUACCGGAGGGAGGAAGAGCAGGAAGCAACUCUCGCUCAAUCACUUCCUUGUUGUUGUCGCUGCAGCCCUGAUGUGAGAGGGGUUACGUUCCGCCGCGUGACGUCAUGCCGCAGCGUUGGCCGCGGGAAACGGAGGGGAAAGAGAGAGAACGGGAGAGAAUGAACGGGAGGGUCCGGGGCGUGGCUAUGGCUUGGGGGCGUGGCUUUUGACCUGCAAGAAAAGGUGUAUAGGAAGAAUGGUGGGAGAAAGCAAGCAGAGGACUGAUUUUAGCUGUUUCUGGGUCAACUGAUGAUUCUUCGUUCUAGAAGGGAGUAAGAUUUCCAGAUCCCAUUCAGAGUUUGAAUAGGCAUGAUACAGUUCAUAAAUGGAGACCACAUCUAAAUACUGCUGGAAUGAUCCAGACCUGGUUAAAGGGGAAGAAUGAAGGGAACAGAUUUACUGUGCUCUCCUUUUCCUGUUCUCCUUAAUCAUCUGCCAACUUCUGAGGGGGGAAGCUUUACUAAAGCAAUGAAGUCUUGUGCCGUUUAUGAAAGNGGUGGAAUCGUCAUCUUCACUGCACACAUUUAUCAUCUCACAUUUGGAUGGGGAAAUUGACAGUGAGUGCAAACUAAUCCAUUCCUAGCGAUUACUUCUAUGGCGAGUCUAAAUAGCCUCCUUAUCUGAGUGCACUUGGCUUUAAAAGUCUACAUCAGCACUUUGAAUUGGUACGAUACUGCUGCCAUAUGUCUCAUUCACAUGAUUCCAGGCAGAAGCUAAGUGACUGCAUUUUGCACCAAUUUAAGUUUACAAAUGGCUCUUAAAGGCACCCUCCACAGAGAAGCAAUCUAAUCUGGAUGUCAUUUGUAUGUGGACAUUGUACCAAGGAUCACAACUAGCAUGUCAGCUUAAGAGAAU